GACGAACGCUGGCGGCGUGCUUAACACAUGCAAGUCGAACGGAAAGGCCCUGCUUUUGUGGGGUGCUCGAGUGGCGAACGGGUGAGUAACACGUGAGUAACCUGCCCUUGACUUUGGGAUAACUUCAGGAAACUGGGGCUAAUACCGGAUAGGAGCUCCUGCUGCAUUGUGGGGGUUGGAAAGUUUCGGCGGUUGGGGAUGGACUCGCGGCUUAUCAGCUUGUUGGUGGGGUAGUGGCUUACCAGGGCUUUGACGGGUAGCCGGCCUGAGAGGGUGACCGGCCACAUUGGGACUGAGAUACGGCCCAGACUCCUACGGGAGGCAGCAGUGGGGAAUAUUGCACAAUGGGCGGAAGCCUGAUGCAGCAACGCCGCGUGCGGGAUGACGGCCUUCGGGUUGUAAACCGCUUUCGCCUGUGACGAAGCGUGAGUGACGGUAAUGGGUAAAGAAGCACCGGCUAACUACGUG
This 468-nucleotide ribosomal RNA is filed under the name uncultured bacterium. Its description in RNAcentral is "partial 16S ribosomal RNA". It matches the Rfam family "Bacterial small subunit ribosomal RNA", at positions 28 to 507 of the family's 1533-position model. The record is from RNAcentral.